UGUUGUAGUCCGACAACGCUGCAAUCCGCCAUAUUGAGAAAACCACACCCUUUUUUAACACUGUCUCUUAUGGAAGUAUUAUUUUAAAGUGUUUUUUCUCUUAACUGGAUAACAACUUCGACCAAAGGAAAAAAUCGAAAAAUAUUACAUCAUUCAGGGCAUAUGGGCAUUGUUUACAUAUGUAGGACCCAAACAUACUGAAACAAUACCCACUGAAACACUUUGGUAAUUUUUCCUAAUUAUUUAGAUUGUCAUGUGUGACGAGUGAAACAUGAUACAGAAAACAAGUUAAUGUUGCGAAUUGGAGAUUUUGUUGCAUCUGCCAUUGCUGUGUGAUUGUGAAGACAAACACGUUCCAUAUGUCAUUUGUGUUUGUCCGUUCAAAGCAAGCACUUGGACGUGCUUGUGGAGUCUCCCGUUCUGUUAUUGCAGCUUGUUCUGUGACUGUACAUGGGA
Molecule: long non-coding RNA, 456 nt
Organism: Daphnia pulicaria
Lineage: Eukaryota; Metazoa; Arthropoda; Branchiopoda; Diplostraca; Daphniidae
Exons: 4
Source: RefSeq, a predicted model, not a curated record